RNAcentral lists this ribosomal RNA (497 nucleotides) under uncultured bacterium. RNAcentral's name for it is "partial 16S ribosomal RNA". It matches the Rfam family "Bacterial small subunit ribosomal RNA", at positions 28 to 507 of the family's 1533-position model. The record is from RNAcentral.
GAUGAACGCUGGCGGCGUGCUUAAUACAUGCAAGUCGAGCGAACAGACGAGGAGCUUGCUCCUCUGACGUUAGCGGCGGACGGGUGUGUAACACGUGUAUAACCCACCUAUAUUACUGGGAUAACUUCGGGACACCGGCGCUAAUACCGGAUAAUCUAUUGAACCGCAUGGUUCAAUAGUGAAAGACGGUUUUGCUGUCACUACUAGCUGGAUCCGCGCCGCAUUAGCUAGUUGGUAAGGUAACGGCUUUCCACGGCGACGAUGCGUAGCCGACCUGAGAGGGUGAUCGGCCGCACUGGAGCUGAGACAGGGUCCAGGCUCCUGCGAGAGGCAGCAGUAGGGAAUCUUACGCAAUGGGCGAGAGCCUGACAGAGCAACGCCACGUGAGUGAUGGAGAUCUUCGGAUCGUGAAGCUCUGUUAUGGGGGAAAAACAACUGUGUAAGUAACUAAGCACGUCUUGACGGUACCUGGUCAGAAAGCCACGGCUAACUACGUG